CCUACGGGAGGCAGCAGUGGGGAAUUUUGGACAAUGGGGGCAACCCUGAUCCAGCCAUUCCGCGUGAGUGAAGAAGGCCUUCGGGUUGUAAAGCUCUUUCGCAAGGGAAGAAAACUUAUGAUCGAAUAAAUCAUGAGGUUGACGGUACCUUGAUAAGAAGCACCGGCUAACUACGUGCCAGUAGCCGCGGUAAUACGUAGGGUGCGAGCGUUAAUCGGAAUUACUGGGCGUAAAGCGUGCGCAGGCGGUUUUGUAAGUCGGAUGUGAAAUCCCCGGGCUCAACCUGGGAACUGCGUUCGAAACUGCAAGGCUAGAGUGUGUCAGAGGGGGGUAGAAUUCCACGUGUAGCAGUGAAAUGCGUAGAGAUGUGGAGGAAUACCAAUGGCGAAGGCAGCCCCCUGGGAUAACACUGACGCUCAUGCACGAAAGCGUGGGGAGCAAACAGGAUUAGAUACCCUGGUAGUCCACGCCCUAAACGAUGUCAACUAGUUGUUGGUAGAGUAAAAUCUAUGAGUAACGUAGCUAACGCGUGAAGUUGACCGCCUGGGGAGUACGGUCGCAAGAUUAAAACUCAAAUGAAUUGACGG
RNAcentral lists this ribosomal RNA (587 nucleotides) under uncultured bacterium. RNAcentral's name for it is "bacterial SSU rRNA". It matches the Rfam family "Bacterial small subunit ribosomal RNA", at positions 338 to 916 of the family's 1533-position model. The record is from RNAcentral.